Equus caballus (horse) is the source of this 606-nucleotide non-coding RNA. The record is from the annotation of a RefSeq genome assembly. NCBI's taxonomy places the organism in Eukaryota, Metazoa, Chordata, Mammalia, Perissodactyla, Equidae.
AUGCAGAAACCCCACUUCCGGCUCUGCAGCAGCAAGGCCACAGGACCACCCAGCUCUAGUGACAUUACAAAAGCCUGUCAGGUGGAAAGCAGAACAAGAGCCAUUUCACCAGUGGGAAGAGCCCCAAAUAUGCAGCCUGGACCACUUGCUCUCUUGUGCACAGUCUUGGCCUUCAUCUGCUUUGGUUUCAGCAAUACCCAGAGUGUCGAUCAACCUAAAAGAGAAGAAUAUAAACGAGAGGGAGAAUCUGUGACCUUGGACUGCACAAUCGUAGUCAGUUAUACUUACUAUAUCAUGUACUGGUAUCGACAGGCUUCCAGUGGAGAGAUGACUCACAUCAUCAACCUAGAUUCUAACAAAAAGGACUCAAGACAAGGUCGCUAUUCUGUGGUAUUUCGGAAACCAAACCUAAAACUCACCAUCUCAGCCUUGACGCUUAGAGACUCAGCCGUCUAUUUCUGUGCUGUUGAACAAGCAUCCCACAGUGAGGCUAGUGAUGGGAAGAGCCUUACAAAAACCCCCGGGGCUCAGAAGGAGCCAUCCAGCUGCUCUAGGAGCAUAGAACAACCCACAGGACAGGAAGAGGGUAGACAGAAGGCAUGGUGA